RNAcentral lists this ribosomal RNA (253 nucleotides) under uncultured bacterium. RNAcentral describes it as "partial 16S ribosomal RNA". It matches the Rfam family "Bacterial small subunit ribosomal RNA", at positions 524 to 776 of the family's 1533-position model. The record is from RNAcentral.
UACGAAGGGGGCUAGCGUUGCUCGGAAUCACUGGGCGUAAAGGGUGCGUAGGCGGGUCUUUAAGUCAGGGGUGAAAUCCCUCAGCUCAACUGAGGAACUGCAUCCGAUACUGUUUGCCUUGAGGACGAGAGGGGAGAGUGGAACUUCUGGUGAAGCGGUGAAAUGCGUAGAUAUCGGAAGGAACGCCGGUGGCGAAAGCGAGCUGCUGGAUCCCUCCUGACGCUGAGGCGCGAAAGCCAGGGGAGCGAACGGG